AGGGUGAUAUAGUUGCGGGAAAAAUCUCCCGCGCUGCGUAGUCUUUGACGUGACAUCUGCAUGCUUUGAAAGUCCUUUGUCCAUGCGCAUAGCCAGCUGUUUUAGUACACGUUUGCACAAUUUACAUAUACAACUUACAAGACACAACAAGUUGGACACGCGCUCUCUGCAUGGUCAGAUAAGAUCACAAUCACAAAGGUCAAUUAUUUUGACAGAUUGAGAUUGUCACGCUGCCCGCCGACGUUGUCGCAACCCGCGAUCGCACGUGUGGCAAGUAAUCUGCAGUCAUUUUCUGACCUGAAAACCUGCGACCAUGGGAGAUUUUAUAAAGAUUGAAGAUGAAGACAAGGGCUACAAUCUGAACAUGUUUUGUGUGCCUCGGCAUUACGAGCAGGAUUUGGAAUCCAUUCUUAUUCCACAUGGCAUCAUUCUAGAUCGGACAGAGAGACUGGCACGAGACAUCGUGAAGGACAUGGGUGAAGACUCGCUUGUCGUACUCUGCGUCUUGAAAGGAGGCUACAAGUUCUGCUCAGAUCUUUUGGAUUACAUCAAGGCCUUGAACAGAAACUCUGAGAGAUCAAUACAGCUUAUCGUUGACUUCAUACGUCUGAAAAGCUAUGAGAAUGACCAAUCAUCAGGUGAUAUUAAAGUCAUUGGUGGAGACAGUCUCUCGAACCUUCAAGGCAAAGAUGUCCUCAUUGUUGAGGACAUUGUUGAUACAGGGAAUACCAUGAAGAAACUACUACAGGUGAUUGGAGAUAACAAGCCAGCUAGGGUCAAGGUUGUCAGUCUGCUGGUGAAGAGGACGCCAAGGAGUGUUGGCUACAGGCCAGACUACAUUGGUUUUGAAGUUCCUGAUAAGUUUGUUGUUGGCUAUGCACUGGACUACAACGAAUACUUCAGAGAUUUAGGUCACAUCUGCAUCAUCAACGAUGAAGGAAAGAAGAAAUAUGCCGUUUAAAGUGGGCAACCUUUCUUCAGAGGAUACUUAUUGUCUGGUGUUACUGUGGCAGUCCCACAGGAGAAGAAUGGUGUAUAGACUGAAUUUAGAGCAGAGCACCCCUUCAGUGGAACCAUUUCAGACUUAUAGUUAAAG
Molecule: unclassified non-coding RNA, 1096 nt
Filed under: Patiria miniata (bat star)
Lineage: Eukaryota; Metazoa; Echinodermata; Asteroidea; Valvatida; Asterinidae
Description: hypoxanthine-guanine phosphoribosyltransferase-like, transcript variant X2
Source: RNAcentral